UGAGGAAUAUUGGUCAAUGGGCGAGAGCCUGAACCAGCCAAGUAGCGUGCAGGAUGACGGCCCUAUGGGUUGUAAACUGCUUUUAUGUGGGGAUAAAGUGCGUGACGUGUCAUGCUUUGCAGGUACCACAUGAAUAAGGACCGGCUAAUUCCGUGCCAGCAGCCGCGGUAAUACGGAAGGUCCGGGCGUUAUCCGGAUUUAUUGGGUUUAAAGGGAGCGUAGGCUGUCUAUUAAGCGUGUUGUGAAAUUUACCGGCUCAACCGGUGGCUUGCAGCGCGAACUGGUCGACUUGAGUAUGCAGGAAGUAGGCGGAAUUCAUGGUGUAGCGGUGAAAUGCUUAGAUAUCAUGACGAACUCCGAUUGCGCAGGCAGCUUACUGUAGCAUAACUGACGCUGAUGCUCGAAAGUGCGGGUAUCAAACAGG
This 424-nucleotide ribosomal RNA is filed under the name Fusobacteriota bacterium. RNAcentral's name for it is "Fusobacteria bacterium partial 16S ribosomal RNA". It matches the Rfam family "Bacterial small subunit ribosomal RNA", at positions 355 to 776 of the family's 1533-position model. Lineage: Bacteria; Fusobacteriati; Fusobacteriota. The record is from RNAcentral.